CGAAGGGGUUAGCAGUGAAAACGCAAAUCCUCUUCUGAUCAUAUCACUGACGUAGCCGUGUCUCCUCCUGUCCCUGUAGACUCACCGACCUUCACGAGCCUUGUUGCAACAUCCCGCCGCAUACCACCAGCUGUUACAAGGGUCACAGGCAUCACCACCACUAUGCUUCGAGGCGAGAAACCUCUCUCAGCAGUGCUCCCUUGUUUUAUUGACUGGCUGAUCUCUACAACCAAGCAAGUCAGCGAUAAAACAAGCACUCUCCAUUACCCAGUUCUCGUGGCACACAAUGGAUUUUCCUUUGACUUCCCAAUGCUUUUGGCUGAGGUUGAGCGCCGUCUGGAGAGUCUGUCCACCUGUGUGCUGCUAACGUCC
Long non-coding RNA from Halichondria panicea, 372 nucleotides. RefSeq lists it as uncharacterized. The record is from RefSeq and is a predicted model, not a curated record. The transcript is spliced from 3 exons. Lineage: Eukaryota; Metazoa; Porifera; Demospongiae; Suberitida; Halichondriidae.